Molecule: ribosomal RNA, 628 nt
Filed under: Streptomyces sp. D1540
Lineage: Bacteria; Bacillati; Actinomycetota; Actinomycetes; Kitasatosporales; Streptomycetaceae
Description: bacterial SSU rRNA
Rfam family: Bacterial small subunit ribosomal RNA
Source: RNAcentral
UGCAGUCGAACGGUGAAGCCCUUCGGGGUGGAUCAGUGGCGAACGGGUGAGUAACACGUGGGCAAUCUGCCCUGCACUCUGGGACAAGCCCUGGAAACGGGGUCUAAUACCGGAUAUGACCUUCCUCUGCAUGGGGGUUGGUGGAAAGCUCCGGCGGUGCAGGAUGAGCCCGCGGCCUAUCAGCUUGUUGGUGGGGUAAUGGCCUACCAAGGCGACGACGGGUAGCCGGCCUGAGAGGGCGACCGGCCACACUGGGACUGAGACACGGCCCAGACUCCUACGGGAGGCAGCAGUGGGGAAUAUUGCACAAUGGGCGCAAGCCUGAUGCAGCGACGCCGCGUGAGGGAUGACGGCCUUCGGGUUGUAAACCUCUUUCAGCAGGGAAGAAGCGCAAGUGACGGUACCUGCAGAAGAAGCACCGGCUAACUACGUGCCAGCAGCCGCGGUAAUACGUAGGGUGCGAGCGUUGUCCGGAAUUAUUGGGCGUAAAGAGCUCGUAGGCGGCCUGUCGCGUCGGAUGUGAAAGCCCGGGGCUUAACCCCGGGUCUGCAUUCGAUACGGGCAGGCUAGAGUGUGGUAGGGGAGAUCGGAAUUCCUGGUGUAGCGGUGAAAUGCGCAGAUAUCAGGA